This 1418-nucleotide long non-coding RNA is filed under the name Macaca fascicularis (crab-eating macaque). Its description in RNAcentral is "lncRNA (ENSMFAG00000064184.1)". Lineage: Eukaryota; Metazoa; Chordata; Mammalia; Primates; Cercopithecidae. The record is from RNAcentral.
GAACACCCCCUACCACCAGGAUGGGCAGUCAUAUGUGACAGUGCCCAAAGCAAGGCUGGAACGCAGUCCCUUCCAGCUUAGUCUUUCUGAUUGCUAGCCAACAAACCAUCCUUAAUCUGAGCAACUUCUUUAGGCAUUUCCUCUUUUCCCCGCCUGCUCCCACUCUGAACAUGACAAAGUUGCCAGAGUUGGGGCAUUGAGGAAGAGAUAUUUCUGGAAUGUGAGACUUCUUAUGCCUCUGUCUCUGUGUCUCUUUCUUUCUCUCCCUCCCCCUUCCCCUCUCCCUCCCAUCCCUUCUUUUCUUCCCUUUCACUCUGAAGCAGUUUUAGCUUAUGAACAGAAAACAAAACUGGCAAAGCAGACUUUUUGUUUAAUUUGCUCUUUCCUUGAUUGUGUUCAGAGAGGAAAGGUAUGAUUAAAUGGGUUCCAGAUCUCUUAUUGCCCUUAUUCCUCCACCCCACUUCCUUUAGCAAGGUCUGACAAUUUCAAAGGGAGACCUAUAGGUUGUUUAGUUAUAGGCAGUGUUCUUUUAGGCAGGUUUUGACAUCUUUAUCUUUUACCCUAUCCAUUCUACCAAAACCUGUGUAUUUCUUGAGCUUUUAGUUUGAGAAGCUGGAAAGAGAGAGAAGGGCCUUACAGUGAUGGGUUCAGGACAGGUCCUGAACAGGAUGUGAGCGAAGGCAACCAAAACUUAGCUUCACUCCACUUUUCUAAAGAUGGAAAUGCUUUUUUAGGCCUUGGACUGCUUGGAAAUGACCCAAGGGGAAGAGGAGCUGGUAUUUAAAUCGUAUGCUUGGAGGAAGAUUUUCCUUCAAUUUUUCCUAAGUCCUUGAAUUCACCAGUAGAUUUUUGUAAACAAAACUGUAAGGGUGUUUCCUCUCGAUUAUCCUAGGAGUGACCUUUAUAUGUGUGGAAGAUUAAUGGUGUAUGCUCCUUAUGUCACUGUUUUUGAGUAAAAUCUAUUUCCUUUCUCCGUUUCAGCCUAUGACAAAAUUGAUGUUUACAGGCCUGCUUUUUGCUUAUAAUUGACAACAUGUGCAAAAAUACCAAAUUUGUGUCCUGUGCAGUAUGAAGACUUCAGUGAAUAUUCAUUAAUGUAUUAGCUUGUUCUGCUCUCUGUUCAUAUAUGGCUCUAUUCUUAGAAAUAUAAUUUGAAUGUGAUCUUUCAGUAGUCUGAAUAUUUUACAAAUUGUUGCUAUGUCUUGUGAAAAUAACCUCAAAAAGAAAAAUAUGACUCUGUUGUCUUACUUGAUACUUCUUGCCCUAGUAAUGUACUUGACAUUUAUGUUCCUAAGCAGUGUAAGUACUAGUAGAAUUUCUCUGUCAAACUCAAUGAUGAUUAUUAGUACUUUUGUCUUCUCCCAUGUGCUUGAAGGAAAAACAAAGUGUCACUACUGUAUUUCUUGUUUUCAUCAAAA